GAGGCACAUGUGGGGAAUCCCAGUGGACAGCAGCGAGGGAGACGUCAAGGAAGGCUUCCGAAUUGGAUGAAGAGGGUUCCUUCUGAAGUCCCUUAAUAUGUACAGAGGGGAGAUAUUUGCCUACCCCCUGUAUCUUCAAAGGAGCUUAUGCCAGCCAAGGCAAAAUUCUUUGCUAUGGAUGUGGCUUGCAAAUAUUAGCCAUACUUGGAGAAAGCUGCUCGAGUCCUUCCUGCCCUUCAGGAGCUCAACGAAAUGAAACCCUUCCUCAGCAUAAUGCAUGCUCGAGCCCAUGCUACAAAGUGUGAGAUUAAAUGGAGUGGUAGGAACCAGGAAGGAGCAGGAACAACAGCCAGAGAGGAGGGGGAGCAAGUGAACAGCUACCAAACACGUUGUGCCCUGACUACCAAAUAUAUGUCCAAAGCAGCACGGGUGGACAUGGUUACUUUGCACGCAGUGGGGUGGAACCACAAAAAGUCUCUCUCUACAUCAGGCACUUUCCACAAGAUAUGUGAAGACUCGUCAGAGACUCCAGGAUGAGACUGCAAGGCUAGAUGAACUCAAAACAGAGCUACACUGCACAGAUGAAUUGGUGUCACAGUGGCUCUCUGAUGUGAAGGAAUGGGCAGCUGAUGGUAAGCAUGACCAAAUAAAAGAAACAACAAACUUUCUUUUUAUUCCUAUUUGAAAUUAAGUUUGAUCAUCGAUGGAUUACAACAGUUGGUGACAUCACCUGCCACCAAAGACACCAUCCAAUGUUAUGCCACAUAUAUGUUUGGUUUAUUUUAUAUUCCAGUUUCCCUGCAGGAAAUGCACAUACCAAGUUCAAUGAAGUUGGAUUCAAAUGAGUUUGUGUUUUUUCAGUUUUUUUUUUUUAAAAACUUGAAGAAAAGGUAGUUUUUUCAACUUGAAAAGGUACAUUUAUAGUUAAACAUUGCAAUGCUAUUAUGCAAGAUUGUCUCAUGCAUACAUACAACUGUUAUUGAUUCUUAGCCAACAUUUCAAUCAAGAAACAUUUGCAUGACCAAGUGAUGUUGGAGAUGCGACUGCAAGAGGAAAAAAGCAUUUUGGUUUUGGAGAUGGCACAACACUGCACAUGGUUGCAGAGCCUGGCAGUGGUUCUCAAGGACAAGAUGGCUGAGGAGGGCAAGUUGAAUAAAACCUCUAUCCCUUUUAAAGUAUGAAUUUCAUUCAUUCAUCUUCUACCGCUUAUCCGAACUACCUCGGGUCACGGGGAGCCUGUGCCUAUCUCAGGCGUCAUCGGGCAUCAAGGCAGGAUACACCCUGGACGGAGUGCCAACCCAUCGCAGGGCACACACACACACACACACACACUCACUCACUCACUCUCAUUCACUCACGCACUCACACACUAGGGACAAUUUUCCAGAGAUGCCAAUCAACCUACCAUGCAUGUCUUUGGACCGGGGGAGGAAACCGGAGUACCCGGAGGAAACCCCUGAGACAUGGGGAGAACAUGCAAACUCCACACACACAAGGUGGAGGCGGGAAUCGAACCCCGACCCUGGAGGUGUGAGGCGAACGUGCUAACCACUAAGCCACCGUGCCCCCUAGUAUGAAUUUCAAAUGAAAAAAAAAUAAAUAAACAUUAUCAGUCUCAGUCACACAAUUUGAAUGGAGUAGAAGGGUUAUUGCUCUUUUUGCCACAAAUGGGGAUUAUAAUUUGCGAUGGUAACAAGUCAGUAAGGUUUUAAAGCGUUUCACAUUUGCUUGAUUUGUUGUACUGUGGCUGUUACAUAAAAGGAGAAAUUAACAAAAGAAUUUUGAACAUUGAAUUCAGCAUCAUCAAACACACCUAUUUCUAUUACCAUGGCAAUGAUACACAUUAAAAUAUGCCAACCAUCCUGGUAUGUAGAUUUGAAUGGUUGAAAUCUUUUAACUCCAUUGAAGUUCUUUGGCCUCAUUAAGCAAUCUUAACAAGCAGUUUGUCUUUUAAUGUAAUCUCCUUUGUAUUUUGAGAUGUAGACAAGGGAAAUGAGGGACUUUGCUGUCUCUUAAGAAGACGACUGUCAGGUGUCAGAACGGUUGCAAGUUGUCCUCCAACAGUACAAGACUGCUUUAGGUCCUGAGGCCUCUGUCCUUCUACAUGUUGAAGCAGAAGAUCCAAGUGGACUGGAGGUGUUCCAUCAAGGUGGAUAAAGGAAAAGCCUGGCUUAUUUUGAUAAAUCUUGAUGAUUUAAGUAAGAGUUCCAUGCCAUUACUGUGGCUUAAGCCCAGUUUACACCAAAGAUUCACAAUCAGACAAAACCAUUUUAGAACGUUACAGUGAUGUAAACGGGCCCUUUUCAGCUUGACUCUGAUGGCAAUAAUUCACCAGUUGCUGGUUUUCGAGUGUAAGGUACAACACCUGUUUCAACAGCCAAUCAGCUUGUAGAAAAGUCAGCCGGUCAAGUCACUAAACUGUUGGCUGGUUGAAGUUUUGGAUGGAGGAAAGAGAUGAUCAGUUUAUCAAUUAGUUUGGGGAACAGCACUAUCUGUGUGACUCAAGCCUUAAAAUUUACUCAACUCUUCAGGGCUGCUUAUGUACUUUGUGCACACAUGCUUAUUUAAGCCUGGUUAAAGUCACUGUUGACUAGACAUGGCUAAUAAUUUAGUUGAAUGGCUUGAGCCUGCAGUGAAAGUCAGUGUUAAUUUAAGCAAGGCUUUUUCAAGUGGACAGCUUACAAUUAACUGCAUUGAUGGAAUACCCCCUGUUACUGUUGCUCUUAAUUUAUUUGUGUAUUUAUUAAUGCUUUACACACCUUCAUUCUAAAACAGUUGAACUUCACCUUAUCCUACGUCUUGCUUUUUUUGUUUUUCUGUAUUUUCCCAGAUGGAAGAUACACAAAGGACUGUGUUGAAGAAAAUGGACUCGCCCUAUAUCUGUAUAUUAUUAGUAUGCUGAUUGAACACAUCAAAAUA
Tachysurus vachellii is the source of this 2919-nucleotide long non-coding RNA. RefSeq lists it as uncharacterized. The transcript is spliced from 4 exons. The record is from RefSeq and is a predicted model, not a curated record. NCBI's taxonomy places the organism in Eukaryota, Metazoa, Chordata, Actinopteri, Siluriformes, Bagridae.